GACGAACGCUGGCGGCGUGCCUAAUACAUGCAAGUUGAGCGCUGAAGGUUGGUACUUGUACCAACUGGAUGAGCAGCGAACGGGUGAGUAACGCGUGGGGAAUCUGCCUUUGAGCGGGGGACAACAUUUGGAAACGAAUGCUAAUACCGCAUAAAAACUUUAAACACAAGUUUUAAGUUUGAAAGAUGCAAUUGCAUCACUCAAAGAUGAUCCCGCGUUGUAUUAGCUAGUUGGUGAGGUAAAGGCUCACCAAGGCGAUGAUACAUAGCCGACCUGAGAGGGUGAUUGGCCACAAUGGGACUGAGACACGGCCCAAACUCCUACGGGAGGCAGCCGUAGGGAAUCUUCGGCAAUGGACGAAAGUCUGACCGAGCAACGCCGCGUGAGUGAAGAAGGUUUUCGGAUCGUAAAACUCUGUUGGUAGAGAAGAACGUUGGUGAGAGUGGAAAGCUCAUCAAGUGACGGUAACUAACCAGAAAGGGACGGCUAACUACGUG
This 497-nucleotide ribosomal RNA is filed under the name uncultured bacterium. RNAcentral's name for it is "partial 16S ribosomal RNA". It matches the Rfam family "Bacterial small subunit ribosomal RNA", at positions 28 to 507 of the family's 1533-position model. The record is from RNAcentral.